UACGGAGGGGGCUAGCGUUGUUCGGAAUUACUGGGCGUAAAGCGCACGUAGGCGGCUUUGUAAGUUAGAGGUGAAAGCCCGGGGCUCAACUCCGGAAUUGCCUUUAAGACUGCAUCGCUAGAAUUGUGGAGAGGUAAGUGGAAUUCCGAGUGUAGAGGUGAAAUUCGUAGAUAUUCGGAAGAACACCAAUGGCGAAGGCAGCUCGCUGGGACGGUACUGACGCUGAGACGCGAAAGCGUGGGGAGCAAACAGG
RNAcentral lists this ribosomal RNA (253 nucleotides) under uncultured bacterium. Its description in RNAcentral is "partial 16S ribosomal RNA". It matches the Rfam family "Bacterial small subunit ribosomal RNA", at positions 524 to 776 of the family's 1533-position model. The record is from RNAcentral.